GUUAGCAGCCAUGUCCGAGGCUACCGGAGUGGUCAAGCAGAUGAGGCCUGAGGAAUAGCCAUGGGAUUAAAAGCUCCAAGGUCCCACUGGCCACUCCUUUCCUGUGUGGUCCUGGCCAUGCCUGUCCCCUCCUGGGGCUCGGUUUCCCUGUCAUUUCAACAAGGGAGCUGGAUGGGAUGCUCCACGAGACUGCCAUCUUUAUUCUCUUCACCUCCCGCAGAGGAAAAUUAGCCAGAACCAAACUAACCAGGUUCCAGCAAAGGUCACCCAUGCCAAGAGGAGCCGCGGGGCUAGCCAGCAAGAGCACCGGCCUCGGAGCUCAUGGAGGGGCCUGGGCAGGCCGCCAGCCCUCUCCAGUGCUCAUCUGCGAACCGGUGAUGUUGCCUGGCUGUUCUUAUGCGAGCUCUACGAUCUCAGUGUUACACCAAGGCUCCUGAUGAAGGCCACCGAGGCUCCUGAUGUGCCGGGGCGGGUCUUCAGGUCCUGCUGCCCACUGCAGAUGACCUGCCAACCUUCUCGUAAUUUCUACGUGAAUCCACCUGUCUUCACUCGUAUGGACACAGCUCCCGCCACAAGCCACCACUGUUUCUGUAGCAGCCCCAGAGGGUCUCCCACCUCCAGGUUCCCUCUCCACACCCCUGGCCCAGUUCUGCUCCUUUCCAAGCCGUUCACCACAGAACAACCCUGAAUGUGACCGUGUUGCUCCUUUACUUAAAAUCCUAGGGGCCCUCUUACCUCCAGAUGGCUCUUGGGACCUACCCAGACUCUGGGGCACGCCUUCAGAGUCCCUACAGGGGCAGGCCACACCUGUCUCUCCAUACUGUCCCACCUCCUGCCCACACUAGCCGAGAAGGCCGACCCCACGGCCAUCCUCCCUUUCCUCCAAAGUCCUGUGUCCACUGCCCUGGGUCUCAGCACAGACUCUUCAUUCUUGGUUUGGGCUCCCAGUCUUACUUCCUGUCACUUCAUGUCUCAGUUGAGGGAAGGUUCCCUGAUACCCCCGCAUCCAGAACCACACCAAGCAUGGGUCACACUGGUCCUUUAUCACCUCUUAGCUUGUCUUCCUCCUGCGCCCGCACUCUCCAUCUGUGGGGGGCCCUGGGCAUCCUGUUGACCUUUGUAUACCCCCUGGCCAACGCUGAGCUGGGGCUCAGUAAAGAGAAGCCAGGGGCGGUGGUGCCAGCAACUCAGGAGGCUGAGAAGGAGGAUCGCAAGUUUGAGUCCAGCCUGGGCAACUUAGUGAGACCCUGGGUCUAAAUGAAAAAUUUGAAAAGCUCAGUGGUAGAGCACCCCUGGGUUCA
Molecule: long non-coding RNA, 1301 nt
Organism: Sciurus carolinensis (gray squirrel)
Lineage: Eukaryota; Metazoa; Chordata; Mammalia; Rodentia; Sciuridae
Exons: 3
Source: RefSeq, a predicted model, not a curated record